AUAAGAGGUCCUGCCUGCCCCGUGACCAUGAGUUUAACGGCCGCGGUAUUUUGACCGUGCAAAGGUAGCGCAAUCACUUGUCCUUUAAAUGAAGACCCGUAUGAACGGCAAGACGAGGGCUUGACUGUCUCCUUUUUCAAGUCAAUGAAAUUGAUCCUCCCGUGCAGAAGCGGGAAUCCUCCCAUAAGACGAGAAGACCCUGUGGAGCUUCAGACACUAAGACAGACCACGUCAAAAUCCCACAAAGGACUGAACUAAGUGAAUCCUGUACUAAUGUCUUCGGUUGGGGCGACCCCGGGGAAUUACAAAACCCCCGCGUGGAAUGAGAGCACUCUUACAAUUAAGAGCUCCCGCUCUAAUAUACAGAACUUCUGACCAUACAAGAUCCGGCAACGCCGAUCAACGAACCAAGUUACCCUAGGGAUAACAGCGCAAUCCUCUUUUAGAGCCCAUAUCGACAAGAGGGUUUACGACCUCGAUGUUGGAUCAGGACAUCCUAAUGGUGCAACCGCUAUUAAGGGUUCGUUUGUUCAACGAUUAAAGUCCUACGUGAUC
This 555-nucleotide ribosomal RNA is filed under the name Boesemania microlepis (smallscale croaker). RNAcentral's name for it is "partial 16S large subunit ribosomal RNA". It matches the Rfam family "Bacterial large subunit ribosomal RNA", at positions 1845 to 2605 of the family's 2925-position model. Lineage: Eukaryota; Metazoa; Chordata; Actinopteri; Sciaenidae. The record is from RNAcentral.